Canis lupus familiaris (dog) is the source of this 1354-nucleotide long non-coding RNA. RefSeq lists it as uncharacterized. The record is from RefSeq and is a predicted model, not a curated record. The transcript is spliced from 3 exons. NCBI's taxonomy places the organism in Eukaryota, Metazoa, Chordata, Mammalia, Carnivora, Canidae.
UGACAAAGUGCCAAGAUCAACUGGUAUCUGCCUUACAUCAACUAGCCAGCCAAUAUCCCUGGGGAUGAAAUGGCAGAGAAGCCUGAAGACACAUCUCUGCUGGCAUCUAUGUUUACCACCUAACUUAUUACCUAAAGUGAUUCAUAGGAUGGGGCUGAUGUCAGGACUUGUUAGACAUUUGAAAUCUUUGUAUUGUUAAAUGCAUAGACAGUUAGUUGGGUGUCCUUUUUUCUUUCACCCACCAUUUGUCUGGUAAAUACACCAGGCUGCAGUAGUAAAACACACUUAAGCUGCUUUAUGUCAGCAAACACAGAACAAUAGCAUCUUCUCAAGACCAUUGUCUUCAGAUAGAACCACAGGACAUUGUUGUAAUCUUCAACAGUCUCUGCAGACCAGGAAUACCCCCCGGAGUCAGCUGGCUUCCAGCUGCUUUAGAUUAUCACCCACCCUUCCUCCCACAUUGAAAUUGUUUUGUAAUGAAGACUGAAUAACAAAUAACCACAAGUGGUAACUUCGUACUGAACAACACCAUGAAAGAAGCAUGGUUAUCACCCAGAAAUGAACAUAGGAAGUGAGAUUCCCAUUUGUGAUGGCAGAGGGUCAAAAAUCAACCCCUACAAGCACUGAUGAACCUGACCAAACCAGUGCCUGUGGCAAUGGACAGAGCACGCAUACAGCAGGUAGACUCUCAGGAACUGGGUGGUUCACUGUCCAGGGAGAAGGAUGUGAAGACCACAAGUCUACAAGGUUGCUCCUGAAUAUACAGCAUGAAUUAAAACUACAGAAUACAUGCUCAAACCUUGAAAUUCCCACUUCCAGCCAGCAAAGAAAAAAACAUGGCUUCUCUGUGAAUGCUAAAAGUGUUUAUUACCAUGUUUAGAGUUGACCUGAUGGAAAACCAAAACCAAAAGAUUGAUGUGCUGUUGUUCGUUGAAUCUGAAUACCAGGCAAGUCCACAACCUUGCAAAGCCCCUCAGUGAGCAUGGGGGCCUUGAUCAGGAAAGGGUGGAAUUCUCUCAACUGGAACGGUGACAUCCAGAGGGAAUGAAGAAACUGUAAAAUCCCAUGUGAUUCGCAUGAGAAAACAAUGAAGUAGACCAUAUUUCACAGACCCAAAAAUAUUUUAUAGAAGAGAAAAACUUACAGAUCUCACACUGUAAGAGGCAGAGCCAGAAUUCAAUCCAAGAAUGUCUGACCCAAAGUCCGAGCUCUAAACUAGGGUUCAGCAAACCGUUUCUAUGAAGGGCUUUGCAUGCCUUUUGCCAAGCAGGACUACACCCUGCCAGUGUGAGCAAAAGCAACUGCAGAUAACACAGAAACAAAUGGGUGUGGCUGAGCUCCAAUAAAACUUCAU